GUGCAAUGAAUGGUUUGGAUAAGUUUCGGCUGAUUCUGAUUGAUGCUAAUUUGAUUAUAUGCUGAGCAC
This 69-nucleotide small nucleolar RNA is filed under the name Caenorhabditis japonica. RNAcentral's name for it is "snoRNA CJA48864". It matches the Rfam family "Caenorhabditis snoRNA ceN108". Lineage: Eukaryota; Metazoa; Nematoda; Chromadorea; Rhabditida; Rhabditidae. The record is from Rfam by way of RNAcentral.